GGAUUGAUUACUCAAGACUCUUCUGGCUUCUCUUUGGUGUCUUCUCUUAUGAAAAUCAUGAAGGAAAGCCUCGGAUUUAGAGCUCUCCAUCUCUUUUAACCCAUAUAUAAUACACACAAAUAUUUUCUCUUUUUGUUUUCCAAUUUAUACCCAUCAGCCAGCAUAUAUAAAAAGUAGAGUUCGAAAAUUCGCAAGAUUUUUUUCCAAAAUAAAGCUUUUCGGCCAACUCCUAGGAGAAGCUGCAGGCUUUCCCAUAUAUACCCCUCAAAAACAUGUACAAAAAGAAAGUUGGGUUGCAUGAAACCGACGCCGACCAUGGCUAUGUUGAAACC
This 332-nucleotide unclassified non-coding RNA is filed under the name Hevea brasiliensis (rubber tree). Lineage: Eukaryota; Viridiplantae; Streptophyta; Magnoliopsida; Malpighiales; Euphorbiaceae. The record is from RNAcentral.